RNAcentral lists this ribosomal RNA (253 nucleotides) under uncultured bacterium. Its description in RNAcentral is "partial 16S ribosomal RNA". It matches the Rfam family "Bacterial small subunit ribosomal RNA", at positions 524 to 776 of the family's 1533-position model. The record is from RNAcentral.
UACGUAGGGUGCGAGCGUUGUCCGGAAUUAUUGGGCGUAAAGGGCGCGUAGGCGGUUUGCUAAGUUGGAUGUGAAAACUCUGGGCUUAACCCAGAGCCUGCAUCCAAAACUGGCAAGCUGGAGUUUUGGAGGGGGAAGCGGAAUUCCUGGUGUAGCAGUGAAAUGCGUAGAUAUCAGGAGGAACACCGGUGGCGAAGGCGGCUUCCUGGACAAAAACUGACGCUGAGGCGCGAAAGCUAGGGGAGCAAACAGG